Molecule: transfer RNA, 84 nt
Filed under: Candidatus Omnitrophota bacterium
Lineage: Bacteria; Pseudomonadati; Candidatus Omnitrophota
Description: Candidatus Omnitrophica bacterium tRNA-Leu
Rfam family: tRNA
About the family: Transfer RNA (tRNA) molecules are approximately 80 nucleotides in length.
Source: RNAcentral
GCGCGGGUGGUGGAAUGGCAGACACGCUACUUUGAGGGGGUAGUGGGGCAACCCGUGAGAGUUCAACUCUCUCCCCGCGCACCA